GGCUGUAUCCAGGUGAUGUGGGGCUGUAAGCAGGUGAUGUAGGACUAUAUGAUGGAGACGUCGGACUGUAAGAGGGUGAUGUAGGGCUGUAGGAAGGUGAAGUUGGACUAUAAGAAGGUGAAGUCGGACUAUAGGAAGGAGAUGUGGGGCUAUAUGCUGGUGAAGUAGGGCUGUAAGCAGGUGAAGUGGGGCUGUAAGCUGGUGAAGUUGGGCUAUAGCUGGGAGAGGUAGGGCUGUAGCUGGGUGAUGUGGGACUGUAGCUGGGUGAUGUGGGGCUGUAGCUCGGUGAUGUGGGAGAGUAGGAUGGACUGGUGGGCGAAUAAGCUGGACUUGUAGGACUAUAUCCCGGAGAGCUAGGACUAUAAGUCGGAGAGGUGGGGCUGUACCCGGGUGAAGUGGGGCUGUACCCAGGUGAAGUGGGGCUGUACCCGGGUGAUGAGGGACUAUAGCCUGGGGAUGAUGGGCUGUAACCAG
RNAcentral lists this long non-coding RNA (474 nucleotides) under Glycine max (soybean). Its description in RNAcentral is "long non-coding RNA (GMAX_LNC000190)". The record is from RNAcentral. Lineage: Eukaryota; Viridiplantae; Streptophyta; Magnoliopsida; Fabales; Fabaceae.